This 253-nucleotide ribosomal RNA is filed under the name uncultured bacterium. RNAcentral describes it as "partial 16S ribosomal RNA". It matches the Rfam family "Bacterial small subunit ribosomal RNA", at positions 524 to 776 of the family's 1533-position model. The record is from RNAcentral.
UACGUAGGGUGCAAGCGUUGUCCGGAAUUAUUGGGCGUAAAGAGCUUGUAGGCGGUCUGUCGCGUCGGCUGUGAAAUCCCGAGGCUCAACCUCGGGUCUGCAGUCGAUACGGGCAAACUAGAGUAUUGCAGGGGAGACUGGAAUUCCUGGUGUAGCGGUGAAAUGCGCAGAUAUCAGGAGGAACACCGGUGGCGAAGGCGGGUCUCUGGGCAAUAACUGACGCUGAGGAGCGAAAGCGUGGGGAGCGAACAGG